ACUAAAAUGAAUCAGACAUGGAUCAGUGAGUAAUUUAAACCUCCUGUGCCAGUUGUCACUGAUUAGGCAGUACAACCACCACCCCUGCUGAAUGCUAGUGACAUCAGUCCGCCAUCUCAUGCUGUACGCUAGUGACAUCAGUCCGCCAUCUCAUGCUGUAUGCUAGUGACAUCUGUCCGUCAUCUCAUGCUGUACAAUAGUAUCAUCAGUUAGCCACCAGCCCACCACCUUCCUGCCACUACCAGUAUGCUAUCACAAGCUGUAUGCUAGUGGCAUCUGUCCGUCAUCUCAUGCUGUACAAUAGUAUCAUCAGUUAGCCACCAGCCCACCACCUUCCUGCCACUACCAGUAUGCUAUCACAAGCUGUAUGCUAGUGGCAUCUGUCCGUCAUCUCAUGCUGUACAAUAGUAUCAUCAGUUAGCCACGAGCCGACCACCUUCCUGCCACUACCAGUAUAAUAUCUCAUGCUGUACACUAUUGACAUCAGUCCACCAUCUCAUGCUGUAUGCUAGUAACAUCAGUCUGCCAUCUCAAGCUACACAAGGAAUGUGAUCUCCGCACAGCAUCCUAAAGGCACAUUUAGAAAAUCCUGCAGACUGACAAACAGAUGAUUGGCUAAACGGGGCAGAUCUGGUGGCGAUAACACAUCACAGAAGCAAAGAAGGAGCUGUGACAAGCAUGUCGGAAUGGCAGCAGCAGGGGAGCAGAAGAGAGGAGAAGUAAUGCAGUAAUACUUCAGUUAUGUUUGAAGAUGCAGCAGAACAAGUGAUCACUAUGGAUCUGUGCGAUCUGUCCGUCUGUGAGUGUACUCCUGUCAGUAUCGGUGGCCCGCAUGCAAGCCCCGGGCCUCUUCUCACCUCCUCAUGGUCCCUGCGCGUCUCCUGCUUCGCCUGCGUACUCCCAUAAUUGGUUCUUUGCUUAAUGAACCCUAUAUUAGUCCGGCACCUCCCAAUUAUGGUGCUGGAUCUUUGUGCUUAGUGCCUUUGAGAAAGUGUUUUAUUGUGUGUGCCUUAUUGUGUUCCUGACCUCCCGCUUGUGACCUGACCUUGCUACUUUGCAGCCUGCCUCCUGACCUUGUCCCUGUGACCUGAAUAUGCUACUUUUCUGCCAACCUUCUGACUCAUGCUUCGUCUGACUACGCCUAUCUUCUGUGCCAAGCUACAUCUGGGCAACCUGUGUGGACAGAUUGCGCGAGGGGUAGUGAACAUGGGUGCCGCCUGCCGCUGCAUCCUGCAUCCAAGUCCAUCCUGCUUUGUGGCGGGCUCUGGUGGAAACCAGCGGCAUCUUAGGCUCCCUGGUACGGUUCAGUCAUUGUCCACACAGGACAGCGUAUCCACCUCUCAACUGUUUACGGAUGUAUGCAUUAAGAUUUACAGCUUAGAGCCUACAGAAUUGAAGAACGGAACUGUAAGUCUAUUACUUUUUAGAACUUUCAGGCCUCAAGAGUGGGAAAGAAGCCAUCUUGUGUUUUCUACACACAUAAGAAAAAGUCGUCACAGGGGCCUGAUAAAGCACCAAAGGGUGCGAUACGGCUGUGGCCCUGACGUCUGAUUCCCCCCGUAACAUCUCAGCCUCCCCGUCUUUCUGUCGCCUGACCACGAUGUCACAGACCUGAUCCCUUGGAACUGCUGCUAAGGAAAGGAUUCUUAUCCUGAAACGCGUACAGCUAAUGGUUAAUAUCGCAUCAGCCAGUGAUUACAAACCAGGAUUCUCGCCACGGAACCACAAGAAGCCUCCCACACCUACACAGCAGGGAUUACCAGAGAAUAGGGAUUACCAGAGAAUAGGAUGGGGAAAUUACUUGCCACUGCACAGACCCCGUACCAUAUUGGAGACCGCAAGCCCUAGAGACAUCAUUGCCCAGGCUCACAUCGCAAGCAGGAAUUCACCCCUUCACUGCGCAUCGGCAGAACUUAUAAAGAGACCUGCGCUGCCAACGUACACUGGAGCUCCACACACGAGAUGCACAGAGCGCAUACAGCUCAUUACUGCUAAUAUCUGCCGGCUCAUCUGCUCGGUCCGAGUGGAUCCACUGAACUAUACAACAUUGGCUAAAACAGCCCAGACUACAAAAAGGUAUGAGGUGUCCUACACCUAACCUCUCUUUAUUCACAAAAUCCUGUUGACAGAGACUAUUCAUUUUCAUUUGGUGCCAAAGUUUGGUGGACUUUAGGUCACAGCAGACCAAUAAGCAUAUAAAUUGUUGUAUUAAGUAUAUCUACUGGCUAUACAUUGAAAGUGAUAUAGUUAUACUAAACCAUUAUAUUUUAUUAUACUAUGUUUUAUCCUACAGUAUAUUAGAUGAAUACUUUUAUGUAAUACACAGGCUGUUGUGGGACACAAGGGCCCACGAUUCCACACAA
This is an RNA transcript of Hyla sarda, 2363 nucleotides long. RefSeq lists it as uncharacterized. Lineage: Eukaryota; Metazoa; Chordata; Amphibia; Anura; Hylidae. The transcript has 8 exons. The record is from RefSeq and is a predicted model, not a curated record.